This 126-nucleotide small RNA is filed under the name Salmonella enterica subsp. enterica serovar Havana. RNAcentral's name for it is "RtT sRNA". It matches the Rfam family "RtT RNA". From Rfam's summary of the family: This family represents a bacterial cis-regulatory element known as RtT RNA. Lineage: Bacteria; Pseudomonadati; Pseudomonadota; Gammaproteobacteria; Enterobacterales; Enterobacteriaceae. The record is from RNAcentral.
UUGCUACCUGCGAUAUGGAAGAUUCGAACCUGCCGCAGGUUCGGGUCUCACGUAGUGAGACAACGGAGCCGCUUGCGGCGACGGCCCGAAGGGCGAGCAAAGCGAGUCAUCCUGCACGACCCACCA